GAGGAAUAAGCAUCGGCUAACUCCGUGCCAGCAGCCGCGGUAAUACGGGGGAUGCAAGCGUUAUCCGGAAUCAUUGGGCGUAAAGCGCCUGUAGGUUGUUUAAUAAGUCUGUUGUUAAAGACUAGGGCUCAACCCUAGGAAAGCAAUGGAAACUACUAGACUUGAGUAUGAUAGGGGUAGAGGGAAUUUCUAGUGUAGCGGUGAAAUGCGUAGAUAUUAGGAAGAACACCGGUGGCGAAGGCGCUCUACUGGAUCAUUACUGACACUCAGAGGCGAAAGCUAGGGUAGCAAAAGGGAUUAGAUACCCCUGUAGUCCUAGCCGUAAACGAUGGAUACUAGAUGUUGCGUUUAUUAUGCAGUAUCGUAGCUAACGCGUUAAGUAUCCCGCCUGGGGAGUACGCUCGCAAGGGUGAAACUCAAGGAAUUGACGGGGGCCCGCACAAGCGGUGGAGCAUGUGGUUUAAUUCGAUGCAACGCGAAGAACCUUACCAAGGCUUGACAUACUACAAAUUUCUUUGAAAGAGGAAAGUGCCUUCGGGAAUGUAGAUACAGGUGGUGCAUGGCUGUCGUCAGCUCGUGUCGUGAGAUGUUGGGUUAAGUCCCGCAACGAGCGCAACCCUUAUUUUUAGUUGCUAAUUUAUUAGGUUUUCUAGAAAGACUGCCGGUGACAAACCGGAGGAAGGUGAGGAUGACGUCAAGUCAGCAUGCCCCUUAUGCCUUGGGCUACACACGUGCUACAAUGGUUAAGACAAAGAGUUGCGAGCUCGCGAGAGUCAGCUAAUCUCAUAAACUUAGCCUAAGUUCGGAUUGUAGGCUGCAACUCGCCUGCAUGAAG
This 835-nucleotide ribosomal RNA is filed under the name Haptophyta environmental samples. Its description in RNAcentral is "bacterial SSU rRNA". It matches the Rfam family "Bacterial small subunit ribosomal RNA", at positions 481 to 1325 of the family's 1533-position model. The record is from RNAcentral. Lineage: Eukaryota; Haptophyta.